GACGAACGCUGGCGGCGUGCUUAACACAUGCAAGUCGAACGGUGAAGCCCUUCGGGGUGGAUCAGUGGCGAACGGGUGAGUAACACGUGAGCAACCUGCCCCUGGCUCUGGGACAACCACUGGAAACGGUGGCUAAUACCGGAUACGACCCGCCUCGGCAUCGAGUGUGGGUGGAAAGUUUUUCGGCUGGGGAUGGGCUCGCGGCCUAUCAGCUUGUUGGUGAGGUGAAGGCUCACCAAGGCGACGACGGGUAGCCGGCCUGAGAGGGCGACCGGCCACACUGGAACUGAGACACGGCCCAGACUCCUACGGGAGGCAGCAGUGGGGAAUAUUGCACAAUGGGCGAAAGCCUGAUGCAGCGACGCCGCGUGAGGGAUGACGGCCUUCGGGUUGUAAACCUCUUUCAGCUCCGAAGAAGCGAAAGUGACGGUAGGAGCAGAAGAAGCACCGGCUAACUACGUG
RNAcentral lists this ribosomal RNA (462 nucleotides) under uncultured bacterium. RNAcentral describes it as "partial 16S ribosomal RNA". It matches the Rfam family "Bacterial small subunit ribosomal RNA", at positions 28 to 507 of the family's 1533-position model. The record is from RNAcentral.